Molecule: long non-coding RNA, 368 nt
Filed under: Monodelphis domestica (gray short-tailed opossum)
Lineage: Eukaryota; Metazoa; Chordata; Mammalia; Didelphimorphia; Didelphidae
Description: lncRNA (ENSMODG00000043317.1)
Source: RNAcentral
GCUGAUUCCACAGGCACUGCCCCCUUGAGAGGCCCAGCAAAUUAAGAAAUUAUGGUUAGUUUCUGAGAUGAGACAUGUGAGAGCUAGUGGGUGGAGAAAAUGGCUUACAAGUGGAAGACCAGGAGGUCUUCUGAGCCUUCUGCCUGGAGUGAGGAACCUGAAUGAACUAUUGUUGGUGUUCUCCUCCACUGAAAUAUGUAAGCUGUGUAAAUCAACUGAAGACAUUACAUUGACUUCCAACCAGAGGCUAUAUAGGAACCAGCAGAUGGCCAUAGUGAUACAAUUCUGCAAGUGGGUGUGGAACAUGAGGGGCUCAUAUAUUUUCUCUUGGGCAUAACCAGAAUAAAAUAUUUCCUGGGAAGAAUGCA